Molecule: ribosomal RNA, 253 nt
Filed under: uncultured bacterium
Lineage: Bacteria
Description: partial 16S ribosomal RNA
Rfam family: Bacterial small subunit ribosomal RNA
Source: RNAcentral
UACGAAGGGGGCUAGCGUUGCUCGGAAUCACUGGGCGUAAAGCGCACGUAGGCGGAUUGUUAAGUCAGGGGUGAAAUCCUGGAGCUCAACUCCAGAACUGCCUUUGAUACUGAGGGUCUUGAGUUCGGGAGAGGUGAGUGGAACUGCGAGUGUAGAGGUGAAAUUCGUAGAUAUUCGCAAGAACACCAGUGGCGAAGGCGGCUCACUGGCCCGAUACUGACGCUGAGGUGCGAAAGCGUGGGGAGCAAACAGG